RNAcentral lists this ribosomal RNA (717 nucleotides) under Georissus canalifer. RNAcentral's name for it is "partial 16S ribosomal RNA". The stretch from base 343 to 501 matches the Rfam family "Bacterial large subunit ribosomal RNA", at positions 2473 to 2632 of the family's 2925-position model. Lineage: Eukaryota; Metazoa; Arthropoda; Insecta; Coleoptera; Georissidae. The record is from RNAcentral.
AUUUAAAUAGCUGCAGUAUUUUGACUGUACAAAGGUAGCAUAAUCAUUAGUUUCUUAAUUAGAAUCUUGUAUGAAGGGUUGGACGAGAAAUAAUCUGUCUUAAUUUUAUUUUUUUUGAAUUUUAUUUUUAAGUUAAAAAGCUUAAAUGUUGUUAAAAGACGAGAAGACCCUAUAGAGUUUAAUUAAUUUAAGUAUAAUUUAAUUUAAGUAUAUAUAAAAUUUUAUGUUUAAAUUAAUUUAAUUGGGGUAGUUUAAAAAUUAAAUUAAUUUUUUAUUUUUUUUUACAUUGAUUUAUGAUUUAUUGAUCCAAUAAUUUUGAUUAAAAGAUUAAAUUACCUUAGGGAUAACAGCGUAAUUUUUUUGAAGAGUUCAAAUCGAUAAAAAAGAUUGCGACCUCGAUGUUGGAUUAAAAUUAUUUCUGGUGUAGAAGUUAGAAAAAUUAAGUCUGUUCGACUUUUAAAAUUUUACAUGAUCUGAGUUUAAAUCGGCGUGAGCCAGGUUGGUUUCUAUCUUUAAUUUAUAAUAAUAUUUUAGUACGAAAGGACCAAGUAUUUAUAAUAAUUAUUUUAUUUUGAUUAAAAUUAUUACUUUGGCAGAUUAGUGCAUUAAAUUUAGAAUUUAAAUAUGUAUUUAUACAGGUAAUAAAUGUUUGUAAUUGAUAUAGUAUUAAUAAUUAUUAGAAGUUUAAUUUUAGUAUUAUGUGUUUUAAUUGGAGUG